This 2580-nucleotide ribosomal RNA is filed under the name gut metagenome. RNAcentral's name for it is "bacterial LSU rRNA". It matches the Rfam family "Bacterial large subunit ribosomal RNA", at positions 14 to 2629 of the family's 2925-position model. The record is from RNAcentral.
AGUGCGCGUGGUGGAUGCCUUGGCGAAGACCGGCGAAGAAGGACGUGUAAGCCUGCGAAAAGCGUGGGGGAGUUGGCAAUAGAACGUUAAUCCCACGGUGUCCGAAUGGGGAAACCCACUUCCUUUUGGAAGUAUUUUUAGUUGAAUCCAUAGACUAAAAAGGCGAACCGGGUGAACUGAAACAUCUCAGUAGCCCGAGGAAAAGAAAUCAACCGAGAUUCCCCGAGUAGUGGCGAGCGAAAGGGGAGGAGCCUGUUAUUUUUACUUAAUUCAUCAGCCGAACAACUUGGAAAGGUUGGCGACAAAGGGUGAUAGCCCCGUAGGCGAAGAUGAGUUGAGGGAACUGAGGUAACGAGAAGUAGGGCGGGGCACGAGAAACCCUGUCUGAACAUGGGGGGACCAUCCUCCAAGGCUAAAUACGUGUCUUCGACCGAUAGUGAACAAGUACCGUGAGGGAAAGGCGAAAAGAACCCCGGGAGGGGAGUGAAAGAGAACCUGAAACCGCGUGCAUACAAACAGUGGGAGCUCUAUUUAUAGAGUGACUGCGUACCUUUUGUAUAAUGGGUCAGCGACUUACGUUGCGUUGCGAGCUUAACCGAAUAGGGGAGGCGUAGCGAAAGCGAGUCUGAAUAGGGCGAAUAGUAGCGUGAUGUAGACCCGAAACCGGAUGAUCUAUCCAUGGCCAGAUUGAAGGUUUGGUAACACAAACUGGAGGAUCGAACCCACUAACGUUGAAAAGUUAGGGGAUGAGCUGUGGAUAGGGGUGAAAGGCUAAACAAAUCCGGAGAUAGCUGGUUCUCCCCGAAAGCUAUUUAGGUAGCGCGUUGCAUAUGACUUGCGGGGGUAAAGCACUGUUAUGGAUAGGGGGUCAUUGCGACUUACCAAACCAUGGCAAACUCUGAAUACCGCAAAGUGAAGAGUGCAGCAGACAGACGGUGGGUGCUAACGUUCAUCGUCAAGAGGGAAACAACCCAGACCGUCGGCUAAGGUCCCGAAGACACAGUUUAGUGGGAAACGAGGUGGGAAGGCAUAGACAGCUAGGAGGUUGGCUUAGAAGCAGCCAUCCUUUAAAGAAAGCGUAAUAGCUCACUAGUCGAGUCGUUCUGCGCGGAAGAUGUAACGGGGCUCAAACUGUGCACCGAAGCUGCGGAUAUCUUUUUAAGAUAUGGUAGGGGAGCGUUCUGUAGGUCUGUGAAGGUGAGGUGUAAGCCUUGCUGGAGAUAUCAGAAGUGCGAAUGCUGACAUGAGUAGCGAUAAAGGGGGUGAAAGGCCUCCUCGCCGAAAAUCUAAGGUUUCCUGCGCAACGUUCAUCGGCGCAGGGUUAGUCGGCACCUAAGGCGAGGCUGAAAAGCGUAGUUGAUGGCAAACGGGUUAAUAUUCCCGUACCGAAUGUAAGUAUGCGAAGUGGGGACGAAGAGGGUUAGGUCCGCUGCCUGUUGGAAUAGGUAGUCUAAGCGUGUAGGAGCACCUUGUAGGCAAAUCCGCAAGGCGAGUCUGAGGCGUGAUGGGGAGGUGUGCUUGGCACACCGAAGGGGUUGAUACCGAGCUUCCGGGAAAAGCCACUAAGUAGUAGCUUAUAUUUGACCGUACCGUAAACCGACACAGGUGGAUGGGAUGAGUAUUCUCAGGCGCUUGAGAGAAUAGAGGAGAAGGAACUCGGCAAAAUAGCACCGUAACUUUGGGAGAAGGUGUGCCCUGAUGAUGUGAAGGUAGUUCUACUGGAGCAAUAAGGGGUUGCAAUGAAGAGGUGGCUGCGACUGUUUAAUAAAAACACAGCACUCUGCAAACACGUUAAGUGGACGUAUAGGGUGUGACGCCUGCCCGGUGCCGGAAGGUUAAGUGAUGGGGUGCAAGCUCUUGAUCGAAGCCCCGGUAAACGGCGGCCGUAACUAUAACGGUCCUAAGGUAGCGAAAUUCCUUGUCGGGUAAGUUCCGACCUGCACGAAUGGCGUAACGAUGGCCACGCUGUCUCCUCCUCUAACUCAGCGAAGUUGAAAUGUUUGUGAAGAUGCAAUCUCCCCGCGGCAAGACGGAAAGACCCCAUGAACCUUUACUGUAGCUUUGCACCGGACUUUGAGCCGGUUUGUGUAGGAUAGGUGGGAGACUGAGAAGAGGGGACGCUAGUUCUCUUGGAGUCGUCGUUGAAAUACCACCCUGAUUUGUUUGGAGUUCUAACCUAAGAGAGUGAAUCCUCUCUGGGGACUGUGCAUGGUGGGCAGUUUGACUGGGGCGGUCUCCUCCCAAAAGGUAACGGAGGAGUGCGAAGGUAUGCUUAGGGCGGUCGGACAUCGCCUGUAAAGUGCAAUGGCAAAAGCGUGCUUAACUGCGAGACAGACAAGUCGAGCAGGUGCGAAAGCAGGUCAUAGUGAUCCGGUGGUUCUGUAUGGAAGGGCCAUCGCUCAACGGAUAAAAGGUACUCUGGGGAUAACAGGCUGAUACCGCCCAAGAGUUCAUAUCGACGGCGGUGUUUGGCACCUCGAUGUCGGCUCAUCACAUCCUGGGGCUGUAGUCGGUCCCAAGGGUAUGGCUGUUCGCCAUUUAAAGUGGUACGCGAGCUGGGUUUAAAACGUCGUGAGACAG